Molecule: ribosomal RNA, 164 nt
Filed under: Cricetulus sp.
Lineage: Eukaryota; Metazoa; Chordata; Mammalia; Rodentia; Cricetidae
Description: partial 18S ribosomal RNA
Rfam family: Eukaryotic small subunit ribosomal RNA
Source: RNAcentral
AACCACCCGAUUGAGAAAUAACAGGUCUGUGAUGGCCUUAGAUGUCCGGGCUGAACACACACUACACUGACUGGCUCAGCAUGUGCCUACUAUAUGCUGGCAGGCCUGGGUAACCCGUUGAUGGGGACCGGGGAUUGCAAUUAUUCCCCAUGAACAAGGAAUUC